GACGAACGCUGGCGGCGUGCCUAACACAUGCAAGUCGAGCGAAGUUAUUCUUUCGGGAGUAGCUUAGCGGCGGACGGGUGAGUAACACGUGGGUAACCUGCCUUAUAGAGGGGGAUAGCCUUCCGAAAGGAAGAUUAAUACCGCAUAACAUUGAGCUUUCGCAUGGAAGCUUAAUCAAAGGAGUAAUCCGCUAUAAGAUGGACCCGCGGCGCAUUAGCUAGUUGGUGAGGUAACGGCUCACCAAGGCGACGAUGCGUAGCCGACCUGAGAGGGUGAUCGGCCACAUUGGGACUGAGACACGGCCCAGACUCCUACGGGUGGCAG
RNAcentral lists this ribosomal RNA (324 nucleotides) under uncultured Bacillota bacterium. Its description in RNAcentral is "bacterial SSU rRNA". It matches the Rfam family "Bacterial small subunit ribosomal RNA", at positions 28 to 351 of the family's 1533-position model. Lineage: Bacteria; Bacillati; Bacillota. The record is from RNAcentral.